Molecule: ribosomal RNA, 489 nt
Filed under: uncultured bacterium
Lineage: Bacteria
Description: bacterial SSU rRNA
Rfam family: Bacterial small subunit ribosomal RNA
Source: RNAcentral
AUGGCUCAGGAUAAACGCUGGCGGCGCACAUAAGACAUGCAAGUCGAACGAACUUAACCUUAGUUUACUAAUGGAGCGGUUAGUGGCGGACUGGUGAGUAACGCGUGAGCAACCUGCCUAUCAGAGGGGAACAACAGUUAGAAAUGACUGCUAAUACCGCAUAUACCUAAGCAUCACAUGAUGCAAUAGGGAAAGAAGCAAUUCGCUGAUAGAUGGGCUCGCGUCUGAUUAGAUAGUUGGUGGGGUAACGGCCUACCAAGUCAACGAUCAGUAGCCGGACUGAGAGGUUCAACGGCCACAUUGGGACUGAGAUACGGCCCAGACUCCUACGGGAGGCAGCAGUCGGGAAUAUUGCGCAAUGGAGGAAACUCCUGACGCAGUGACGCCGCGUGCAGGAAGAAGGUUUUCGGAUUGUAAACUGCUUUAGACAGGGAAGAAAAAGACAGUACCUGUAGAAUAAGCUCCGGCUAACUACGUGCCAGCAGCCGC